UCAGCAGCCGCGGUAAUACGUAGGGGGCAAGCGUUGUCCGGAAUUACUGGGCGUAAAGGGCGUGUAGGUGGGUAAUUAAGUCAUGGGUGAAAACUGCAGGCUCAACCUGGAGGCUGCCUAUGAAACUGGAUAUCUUGAGGGCAGGAGAGGAAAGUGGAAUUCCUAGUGUAGCGGUGAAAUGCGUAGAUAUUAGGAGGAACACCAGUGGCGAAGGCGACUUUCUGGACUGACCCUGACACUGAGGCGCGAAAGCUAGGGGAGCGAACGGGAUUAGAUACCCCGGUAGUCCUAGCCGUAAACGAUGGGCACUAGGUGUGGGAGGUAUCGACCCCUUCCGUGCCGGAGUUAACACAUUAAGUGCCCCGCCUGGGGAGUACGGCCGCAAGGUUGAAACUUAAAGGAAUUGGCGGGGGAC
This 415-nucleotide ribosomal RNA is filed under the name uncultured bacterium. RNAcentral's name for it is "bacterial SSU rRNA". It matches the Rfam family "Bacterial small subunit ribosomal RNA", at positions 508 to 921 of the family's 1533-position model. The record is from RNAcentral.